GAGGCACCAUGGGUAACACCAGUCCAAUGGCCGACACAUACUAUACCCUUGUUGUUAUUUAUCCAACGUUUCUUUGUGGAACAAAUAACUCCUUUAACCCUGUGAAUGUGUCUGUGUGUGUGCGCCUCUGGUUUUGGCCUCAGGCGGUUUAGCUGCCCGUCGUUGUGCGAAAACAGUUUCGCGCUCUCUUCAGCUGCACCCGGUUGAAAGUGGGUCUUUGACUUGCCUGAUAGCUUUUGACAGCUCACUCUCAUCCCCGGUGGAUCAAUGGAGCUCAGCGCUCUUCAUUAGAAACAUCAAUGUAGCGCACAUUCCCACAGGCUCAGCCGCAACUCACCAGCCCAGUCAGAGAGACAAGCUUUGUUUCGCUAUUCUCCAAAAGAUCCUUCUUGACUUCUGUGUGACAUUUUAUGCUUUUUAAUUGAAGAAUAUUGUGGGAACAUGAUGAAAGGGGAGUAGUUUGUUUGGCGUUAGUUCAUACUGGGGAGAUGACCGUUAGCAACACAGUGCACCUAAAAUGUGAAUAAAACAUUGUCUAUUCCGGUUUAUACAUCAUAUAGAAUAACAAAUAUGUGCACACUUCUUAUUCUCUUUGACUGAAAUGUAGGCAGGUCCUCAUAUAAUGAAUCACUACUAUUAGUGCUGAAACAAUUAGUUGUUUGACGAAGUUUGUCUGUGAAAGUGAAUCUUUUCAUUUUUCAAGCUUUCACCGGCUUCCGAAGCAAGGCGGGAUGCUUAUCUGUGUGUUUAUUGCAAUGCAAAUGGAUCUUUAGGUUUAAUACUAUUAUUUGGAUAAAACUAGCAAUUGAAAGCUGAGUGAAAGCAUUAUGAUGAUGUCUUUAGUUCAAACAAUCAAUUAUCUAAAGAAGACAUUGACAGAUUAAUUGAUUGAUCAAACCCGUUGUUUCAGCCUCGUCUACUGUGUUGUGAUAAUAAUGUCUUGGAAAGCACUUUGUCGAUUUAUACCUCGAUACUUUAUAAGAAGUGCGUGACAUAUUUUAUGCUGUAUUUCCACAUCGGAAAAAAAGCUGCUGAUUGAAAUAAUAAGCAUUUUUUCACAAGCUUAUUUCUAGAAUAAGCGUAUUAUUAUUUAACUAGAAGUAUACUUGCAGCACAUUUUUUACCAUCCAUUUUUUUCUUUAAAAUGUGUAAGCCAAUUAAAAAUGUAAUGCUUGAAUUCAUUAUGGCCAGUUUAAAAUGCCCCCCUCCCCCCCGAGCUAUCCUACACUACGUUGCCUAACGCUGCUCUGUUUAUACUGAACUUGAAUAUUAUUCCAGGGAACUCUCUGAAGAAGUUUGCUAUGUGUCGAUGCCGGCCGCAGGGUUUAUUGUAAACACAAGUGUUGCGUCAGCAAAUGCUUGAAAUGAUGCCAUCACACAUAUGGAAAUGUUGUUAUGUGCAACAAGAAACAAAUAGACACUGGGGAGACACUGGAGACGGUAGUUGGUCACAGAGGUUGUUGUCAUGAUGCUAGUUGGGAACCCGAGCCAAUGACUGCUUCACUGUCAUCAUCUUCUUUUCGAUUGGCUCUGUGGCAACUUACACAGGUAAUCACUGAGGGAAUCCGGCCCGCCCGUUGAGUCACACACACACUGGAAUGCAUUGACACACACACACACAGUCACACACACAGAGUCACACAUGCAGCUAGCUGUCACACGGAGAAAAAAGCAGUGUGUAUUUCAGCGUCUCUCUCUCUGGUCUGAUCAUCAAUAAUGCAUGAGUUAGGGAGGAUGAAAGGCUGUUUUGGCUUGAGGCGUUUGUCUCAAAAGGAGAGGGAGACACAUCAGCACCAGUAGCUGUAACUGUACAUCCAUAGAGUCAACGGCUUCUUGGCCGUCCUCAGUAGAACUGUUUCAAGAUGAAUGUACUGAUGUCAGGCUAAAUGUCUCAAUAAGAUCGUAUUCAUUUGCAUUGUGAACAUUACAGUUAUUCCUUUUGUUAUUAUACCUAUAUAUAUAUUUGUUAUUGCAAUUGCAUUUUGGUCAGAAUUGUGGAUCUAAGGAUGACCGUGUGUACAUAUUUUAAAUCCUUCUGAGGCAAUGAGGCUAUUAGUAGCUGUUUAGAAGAAUCUGGACUUUGACCAUUAGACUUUUGAUGCACCAGCUAAAGUUGUUGAUUUCAUAUUUUUAAAAGGGUCUUCAAAGUUUGAGGUGCGGUUAAGUCGUAUAACUGGUGCAACUGGUUUCAUAAUGAUAUGGAUACACGAGGCAAAGGCUCACCUCGCGUAGCCUUACCCGUCUUUAUGUAGGGGCUCAAACAGGAAAACCAUAGGGUGCUUGUUUGUAUGUGAAACAGUAGAGAGCCGCUUGGCUCGUCGUUACUCUCUGAAGAAGUGGCAGCGGCUGUUUGGCUGACACAGAUAUUAAAUCAGCAGUCCUGUUAUCUUAAAGUGUUUCACUUAUUUCUGUGGUGAUUAAAGUUACUGAACAGAGUGCAUCAUGUGGAGCAACUUCUCUUUUCUUCUCUCUCAUUUUCCCGUGAAGCCUUUGGUUAUAGACAUUCAUAUGUAAAUACAGUACAGUCUACGCGUGAGUGUGUGUGUGUGUGUUCUCAACGUGUGCGGAUGUGGGAGAGCACGCGACGGCCCUUUGAAGUUCUUCAUUCACUCGACGCGCCUCUUCCCCGUGUCUCGUCUCUCUUUGAAGACCACGUAGCCAUGAUUAUUAAAGCUGCCUUCUUUCCACUUCAAACGUAUGGAAUGAAUAUGGAUAUGAUAGGACACCAGGCGUCCCACGUACCAACACCCUCCCCUCCUCUGCCGUCCCGCCCGGUGGUGAGGUUUGAUCGGCCCUGUCGUCUCGCACAGUCUCUGCUGCCGAUGAAGUUGUCAUCGCGUGACUUGAGGCAAGAGCCAUCUGGAGAGGUUAUGAAAUGACUCGCUAUGCAGCUGCAGGGGGACGUAGCAAAGUUAUUAUCUUAUUUUAUUAAUACAACUUGUGGUCGUGCCCUUUUUCCGUGGCACCAUCUAAGCUGCUCUGUGUACUUUGUCGUCUGUGUAAAUGUUUUUUAAACCUGGUGGAUUCCUCCACUGGCCAUGUCAUUUAUUGCAUGAUAAAUACAUUCAUGGUCAUGGUCUCUCUCUCUCUCUGUGUCCUCCAGCUUCGGGGUAUUUUACACAAUGUCAUGACAAUGUUAUCUUAAGGAGCUUUUUAAUCCACGGCAACGCCAUAAACUAUAUCAUUAGUUGGAAUGCUUUAAGCAUUCCAAGUAUUGUUCUUCUAAUCUUUAUUCAACUUAUUAUUAUUCUAUUUCUUCCGCGCCCCCUUUCAACUGCUUCCCAUUUUCAGCUAUUUAAACCGUUCAAAUUUUAAAAUAUUCAGCUUCUUUCUGGCUUGAGGGCUAUGUAUGUUCAGCUUUCUAGCUCUUAAGCUUGAAUUUAUAUAAAUCAAUAAUCAUUAAUAUUUUAACAUGGUUUUCAAAUGGAGUUUGCUUUUCAAAUCCUCUUCAACUUCUUCAACUUUCAGAUUUUUCAGCUCCGCCAAUCUUUCAGCUACAGACACCAUUUCAACUCUCAAAUGUUCACACAAGUCUCAACUAUUUUAUGAAAAAAACUGCUUCUUGAUAUCUAUUGUACUUUUUUCAUAAUCACUGAUUAUGUUUCACUAGUUUUUCGCUCCGUUUCUGACUUUUACAUGAGUGUGUAUUGCGUCUGCUAGAGUGGAGAGCUCCAGGGCUAGAGGCUGAAGCAGCGCAGAAAUCUGGUUAAAAAAGUAUGGAACUUCUGUCCUUGCAGCCAAAGUAUACACUCUAGAGGCUUCAUUUCUUCAGAUUAAUGAGGGUAUGGUUGUGCUGAUUGGAUUAAUGUGUUCAUGGAAUCCCAGAGUUUUUUAGUUUUGGCGCAAGGAGUGUUUGAGUGACACAACCUCUGCCAAAAGCCCCAUAGGCUCCAAUACAAAUCUGCCGACAUAUUUCUCACAAAAAUCCACAAGGUACACGUUCUGUCAACGGCCAUAGGAGCCGUAUUUAUUACCGGACAGACAUAAAAAGCACAUCCACGCGUUCGGUAGAGUCUUGGGUCUCAUACAAACGGCGUAUUUUUUAGAUAGCUGUUAUAGUUUUUCGCUGGUUCCCAUUUGUUUGAGGUGUGGAUUCUGUGUAACUCGCUGUCCUGUGUCUGCACUUUUGCAGCAGCUCGUUAAUGAGCACAGGUGCGCCGUUGUCGUGGUUACGAGCACUCACACGCUGCAGGAUCUGUCUGUGGCUCACAGCUGCUCCCUAUGACCUGAUUAGUGGAGUCACAUGACGCAGCUAUGCUUUCUGUCAACAGACCAAUAUGAUAAAGACACUAGCCCCCCUCCCCCCUCCACCCUGACCUCUACUUACUGUUAAUCACUCUCAGUCAGUCAGUCAGUCUAAUUCUCCUCCCCUCUCCCUCUCUUCCUCACCACCAUUCCCCUUCCUCACCCUCUCACCCUCCCUCCCUCUAUCUACACCCCCCCACCCCACCCAAUCCAAUAGGUGCGCCGUUGCCGUGGUUACUCGUAAACACGCUGCAGUAUCUCUGUGUGUGACUCACAGCUGCUCCAAUGACCUGAUUAGUGGAGUCACAUGACGCAGCUAUGCUUUCUGUCAACAGACCAAUAUGAUAAAGACACUCGCCCCCCCUCCCCCCUCCCCCCUGACCUCUUCUCACUGUUAAUCAUACAGUCUGUCUGUCUAUUUCUCCUCCUCUCUCUCUCCCUCUAUCUCUUCCUCACCACCCCUCCCUUCCUCACCCUCUCACCCUCCCUCCCUCUAUCUACACCCCCCCAACCCACCCAAUCCAAUAAUUUCAAAAUAAAAGCCACAUGGAGGGAAUUUUUACUGUAAUGUUUGUGAUGAGGCCUAUUAAUUAAAAACUUCUUAGUUUGAAUAACAAACAUUCUGUCUCCCACUACGAAUAUUACUCGUACUUCUAGUACUACAACUGAUACUUCUACUACCAUACUACUAGUAUUUCUACUGCUAUUAAUACUACAACUACUACUAAUGUUAUUACAAAUACGACUAUGGCUAAUAGUAUUACAGCUGUUUCUACUGCUAUUGAUACUAAACCUACUAUUACUGCUAGUACU
Long non-coding RNA from Gasterosteus aculeatus aculeatus (three-spined stickleback), 5058 nucleotides. NCBI's taxonomy places the organism in Eukaryota, Metazoa, Chordata, Actinopteri, Perciformes, Gasterosteidae. The record is from Ensembl.